Long non-coding RNA from Dromaius novaehollandiae (emu), 4286 nucleotides. RefSeq lists it as uncharacterized. Lineage: Eukaryota; Metazoa; Chordata; Aves; Casuariiformes; Dromaiidae. The transcript is spliced from 2 exons. The record is from RefSeq and is a predicted model, not a curated record.
GACAUAUUGAGUUUGUGCGCCUCUGUGUUUAGUAAGAGACGUUUAAAUCUGAUUUUAACCUAAACUGGCAAUUCUGACAUUUGUCUCUGGUCUUUAAAGCAGGAGCUAUGAUGCCACCAGCCAGAGGACGGCGGGCUGCUCCCGCCAGCCGCCCGUGACCUCACGCGGGAGGGGAGGAACGAGCAGACUGCGGAGCAGCUCUCCCGUCGUUUCGGCAAGCACGCCUAAAAGCGGGCUAAUGGGACCCCCGACGGCUGCCCCCGCCGAGCCCCGUCCCUCUGUCCGUCCCUCCGUCCGUCCAUCCCGCCGGAGCUGCCCCGGCACCAACGGCUCCUGCGGCGGCCGGGGGUCCUGGGCGUUUCAUCCCCACCGGGGCCGUGCGGAGCAGCCCCCGGGGAGAAGCCGUAAGGACACAAAACAGGAGGCAGAGGAGGGGCUGGGCGAUGCCUGGGGGGGCCGCGCCGCCCCCCGAAACCCCGCUGCAGUGGCGCGCCGGGCGAGCGUGCUUUGCGCCGGGCUAGCGUGCAUUAACGAGCUCAUUAAGUGAUGGAUGCGCUUAAUUUUCCUGUCAAACGCGGACUUCCCUUGUAAACAUGUCAAUUGAGAGAAGUUCGAGCUUGUCGCUGGGGUUUGCGGCUGGGGUAACGCGCAGGUGGAAGAGAGCGCUGCGGCCCCCGUGGCCCCGCGCAGCCCCCCGCGUGCUGACCGCGGCCCCUCGCCCCGCACGGACGCGCGUUUGACCUCCUGCAGCAUGCACAAGCACAUGCAGUAUAUAUAUAUGUAAAAAAUAUUGUGUAUAUAACCUGCUGGGCCGGUGCAUAUUGCCAUUCCCUGGGAGAGCUGCAAGGAGAUGCAGACCUGCUCCAGCUCGGGGCUGACACAAGCCGGGCUUUGUGCUAGCUGAAGCCUCAGAAACACGUGGUUUUUGGCUGCAGCCUGCACGGACGGAGGCCGUGGCCGCGGCGAACGGUCACCCCGAGCAGCGCGGCAGGGUCGGCCGUCCUGCCACCUCUUCGGCUGAGGCUCGCGCUCGCCAGGGCUACGCGAGAGCUGUCGGUAACUCCUGCUGCGAUGCAGGAAAGCGCAGGACUCCCCGUUUUCUUCCGGGCUCCGCUGCGCAGGGGGUGUCACGCGCGGUUUGCGCUGCAGCGGGACGGCUGCUCCGCGUGUCCAGCCCCAAAACAGUUUUGUUUUUUUUAAUUUUCUAAGAAACAACAGCGAAUAGAGAAUUUGUGAAAUCGAUGGGAUGUGACUUAUUCUGAUUUUCCCGGAAGACUCUCAGUGAGGUCCAACCUUGCCAAGCGCACCGAGGGGACGACCAGCUGCCCGGGACGCGCGAACCGGCCGCGAGGGUGAAAGUGCCGCAGCCGGAGCGAUGGGCUCGGCUCAGCGCCGCUCCCCAGACGUCCCAGGUCCGUUCCUGGGCUGGCGACGGCUAUAAAUAAGCUGUUUUUGAUUGAUUCAUUUUUAUUUCUGCUAACUUUUAUCACAAAACAGCAGUCACCGAAUCGACACCUCGGCUCCCUCAAGCAUAUUCCCUCCGGUGUCAUUUUUUGAUAAAUGCCAGGAACAGCCCGGCAGCGGGAGGCCGCUAUCCCGCGACGUGCUCCGCGCUGCUCGCGUUAUCUCCGGAAUAACCCGGGUGCCUGCGCAGCCCCCGGUGCUCGUGGUGGGGGCCGGGGGCACCGCGCUCGCAGCCGGGCGCAGCUCGCCCUCCGCGUCUCGCCCUGGGACGGCUUCGCAGCCGCCUGCCCGAACCAGGACCGGGGUUGUCUCAGGUUUCGGAGCCUCCCGCCUUCCCCUGCCCUUUUCUUCCCCAAAAUUCCCCAUGCAACACCACCAGCCGAGCAGCACGGAGCGAAAGCAGGGCUGUGCGCGGGGCCAGCCGUGCCGCCGGCCUCCCACUCCCGCACCGGCGCAGGCGACUGCGGAGAGGCACCGCGGGCAGGGAGGAGCCCCGGCCGCUGAAACCCCGCCGGGCUCCGGGUCCGGCCGCUGCUCCUCCGCGCCGGGGACGUGCCAUCGCCUCGCGUCAGCCGUGCGCUGCCUCAGUGUUUAUUUUUGCUAAUAUGACACAAUUAAAGGGUAAUCGUAGCUGUACCUUUCACACCGCGUCAGGCGAGAUGAGUGCUGCUGAAAGGAUGAUACUAACGUGACACGAUAGGACGUCGUUAACGUGAUGAAACGUUCAGGUCAUAUUAAUAUAGGAAAGAAGGGAGUGAGAGCUUUGAUCUGUCUCACCCUUCUUGGGUCAUUUGCUGCUGCGCCCGGGAACGCGGGGCCGCGUCCGCUCCCUCCCGGCUGGCGCAGCCCUGCCGUGUCCGUGCAGUCAGAGGCAGCAGGACAGGGAAAAGAUUCGAGACCUGCAGCUCCUGCAUCCUGGUCCGUGCAGGCGGGGAUGGCUCAGGCCUCCCACCGCUCUGCCCGCUCCAAGCGCUCCGCUUCCCGGGCACUUUCCACUCGGAGCAGCCCCUUCAAUCUGAAACUUUGAGGCAUGGUGGCAAAACUUGGAGGAAAUAAUUAACAAUUAUUUCACAGGAGAAGGUUCCAGCUGGAGCAGUAUCUGCUGGUUGAACAUAUAUCUAACAAAGGAUUGUUAUUUAAGCAAUAACCCUUGAGAAAUUGGUCGUUACCAGCAUUAAACGACUCAGCCCAUUGCCAAGGAUGGUUAACGCUCUAAUAAACUGGUCAUUAACUGCAGUAACAAUGAAUUUCGAGGGGAUUAUUGCUAUUAUAAACCUUAAUCAAUGGUUUAUAACAGCAAUAAUGUGGUCCUUUCUUUUAAUGGUAAGUAGUGCGGCAUGAGCAGCCUGCUUGGAAAUAUUUUCAGUCUGGCUGAUAAGACAAAAGCAGGCGUUCAAAACCCUAAACAUUUCUGGGGAGAAAAAGACCAAACAAGAUCCCCAGUGAGAGGGAUGAUGUGCUGGCCACAGCGUUUGCUAGAUGCAGAUGUGCAGAUGCAGAUGUGCAGAGCAGGCACCGAGCUCGGACAAGCCUGGGCCGGGCGGGAAAGGCAGAGCCCCAGAGGAAAGCGCGGCGGGGAGAGGGAGCCCCGCGGACGGCCUGCCCGGCAGCCGGGCACGGGCAGAAACACCGUGCCUGAGUUAAACCCUGGGAGAUGCUGCCAUUAGCUGGGUUUCGGAGUCGCUGCAUGAUCCCCCGGUGAGGAGAGGCCCUGGGUGGAGCGGCAGAAAGACCCCGUCCGGGGAUAAAGGAUGGGCCCCAAGCCCAGCGUCGCGCACACAGAGACCCCGGCAGCAGGCAACCGCUGCCCCGAAGAACAGGAUCCAUCUCUGCCUCCGCACAAAGAACCACUCACGUUUUUCUGGUCAUAAACUGCCCAGUCUCUAAACCCAGCUGCUGCACCGCGCUUGGCUCUGCACGUGCUGCUGCUGCUGCUGCAAACCCUGCAGCUGAAAACGUCCCAGCUCCCCGUUCCCUUUUCUUUUCCCGGUGCUCUUCUGGAGACUCUUAUUACUGCUUUUGUUUCCAUGUGAGACAGAUAUGUUGACUAUUCACAAAGUGAAAAAGCCGAGAAAUAGGCAGGCUAAUCCUCGGCCUGCAAAGGACCCGGGGAAUUAAAGAGCUGAGGCAGCAGCCGCUGCGGCCGGCAAGUGGGAUGGGAGACCCUGAACCCGGCGGAUUUUCCCGGAGGCGGAUGCGGAGCGGGGCCUCUGCUCCCGCUCCCUGGGGACGAGGAGCGUUUGCACCCUGGAGACCCAGGGAGUUCGGCUCUUCCCCUUGGUGUUUGGAGGCCUCAUCCCGGCUCCGCACGGACCUGCUGCUGCGGAGGCAGCUCCGCUCCCGCUUCCCAGCGCAGGGCAGAGCUGGGGGCUCCCGCGGAGGCCAGGGAGGAUCUCCAGCGACUUCGGCUAGCAGCAAGCCUCGAGACAAGGACGAGUUGUAAUUAUGCCCUGGCUUAAAUGGAGAUUUCCCCUCUUCUGUACUUGAGAUUUUUAUGGAUCUUCAGAGCAGCUUCUCAGUCCCGCUCUUCUCUCCGCGCUGCCCUCGCUAAGCUGGAGGAGGAACUCCUCGGCUGCGGCCAACCGGAGCGAGGCCACCAGGACUUUGGGGCCUUGGGCGGGUUCUGGCCAACUUUCCGACGUCCUUCCGACACGGUCCCCCCCGUGCCUUGCUCAGCGUGGCUGUCGGCGUCCCUUCCCGCGGAGGGGGUGAUCGCUAACGUCUCCUUCUUCCCUUUUUUUUCCGAAGAAGGCUGUACCGGAAUAAAUUGGAAAGUUUACUUCAUGUAGCAUGGAAAUAAAAAAGCUCAUUCAGAAAGUUAA